GAUGAACGCUAGCGGCAGGCUUAAUACAUGCAAGUCGUGGGGCAGCACAGGUAGCAAUACUGGGUGGCGACCGGCAAACGGGUGCGGAACACGUACGCAACCUUCCUUUAAGCGGGGAAUAGCCCCAGGGAAACUUGGAUUAAUACCCCAUAGGAUCAUUGAAUGGCAUCAUUUGGUGAUUAAAGCUCCGGCACUUAAAGAUGGGCGUGCGGCUGAUUAGGUAGUUGGCGGGGUAACGGCCCACCAAGCCGACGAUCAGUAACUGGUGUG
Molecule: ribosomal RNA, 270 nt
Filed under: uncultured bacterium
Lineage: Bacteria
Description: partial 16S ribosomal RNA
Rfam family: Bacterial small subunit ribosomal RNA
Source: RNAcentral